RNAcentral lists this ribosomal RNA (468 nucleotides) under uncultured bacterium. RNAcentral's name for it is "partial 16S ribosomal RNA". It matches the Rfam family "Bacterial small subunit ribosomal RNA", at positions 28 to 507 of the family's 1533-position model. The record is from RNAcentral.
GACGAACGCUGGCGGCGUGCUUAACACAUGCAAGUCGAACGGAAAGGCCCUGCUUUUUUGGGGUGCUCGAGUGGCUAACGGGUGAGUAACACGUGAGUAACCUGCCCUUUACUUUGGGAUAACUUCAGGAAACUGGGGCUAAUACCGGAUAGUAGCUCCUGCUGCAUGGUGGGGGUUGGAAAGUUUCGGCGGUUGGGGAUGGACUCGCGGCUUAUCAGCUUGUUGGUGGGGUAGUGGCUUACCAAGGCUUUGACGGGUAGCCGGCCUGAGAGGGUGACCGGCCACAUUGGGACUGAGAUACGGCCCAGACUCCUACGGGAGGCAGCAGUGGGGAAUAUUGCACAAUGGGCGGAAGCCUGAUGCAGAAACGCCGCGUGCGGGAUGACGGCCUUCGGGUGGUAAACCGCGUUCGCCUGUGACGAAGCGUGAGUGACGGUAAUGGGUAAAGAAGCACCGGCUAACUACGUG